CAAUGGUCAAAAUUACAGUUUAAUAUUUGUAUUUCUAAUGAUAACUACUUGCACAUAUCCAUCACACUUCUCUGUUACUAUUAAACUUAUUACUAUCAUGCAAGUAAAAUCUCUUGGGAAAAAUAAAAUGUUGUCCCAGGAUGGUCAUAAAUAUCAGCUAGUAAAACUAAUGAAUAUACCUAUAAUCAUGUACAUAUGACUAUCAUAUAAUAUGUUGUAAUUCC
Paramuricea clavata is the source of this 224-nucleotide non-coding RNA. NCBI's taxonomy places the organism in Eukaryota, Metazoa, Cnidaria, Anthozoa, Malacalcyonacea, Plexauridae. The record is from the annotation of a GenBank genome assembly.